Molecule: ribosomal RNA, 219 nt
Filed under: uncultured bacterium
Lineage: Bacteria
Description: partial 16S ribosomal RNA
Rfam family: Bacterial small subunit ribosomal RNA
Source: RNAcentral
ACGCUCGACACCUACGGCAGCAGUAGGGAAUCUUCCACAAUGGACGCAAGUCUGAUGGAGCAACGCCGCGUGAGUGAAGAAGGUCUUCGGAUCGUAAAACUCUGUUGUUAGAGAAGAACACGAGUGAGAGUAACUGUUCAUUCGAUGACGGUAUCUAACCAGCAAGUCACGGCUAACUACGUGCCUGCAGCCGCGGUAAUCUGAGCGGGCUGGCAAGGC